CACGCUCCACACGAUUAUUAUUUUAAUUGAGCAUGCGGCCAUCCAAAAGAGGAUGUAACACCAGUAGCUAUAGUUGGUAGGGAUACCAAUUGUUAGUUACAUUAGGUGU
This 109-nucleotide small RNA is filed under the name unclassified sequences. RNAcentral describes it as "COG3943 RNA". It matches the Rfam family "COG3943 RNA". Rfam says of the family: cow rumen. The record is from Rfam by way of RNAcentral.